Scophthalmus maximus (turbot) is the source of this 687-nucleotide long non-coding RNA. RefSeq lists it as uncharacterized. NCBI's taxonomy places the organism in Eukaryota, Metazoa, Chordata, Actinopteri, Pleuronectiformes, Scophthalmidae. The transcript has 5 exons. The record is from RefSeq and is a predicted model, not a curated record.
ACUUAGGAAACACGCUGGAGUGGCUGGAGGAGCCAGCUGCCGGAGCCCGACAGCCUCUCGUCCCCCGCGGGGUUAACACACGACGGGCCAGGCGACCAUCAGCCGCACUGAGCUUCCGCUCCUCCGCCGACCGCCCGAUCGCGACACCGGAGGAGGAACUCACCCGUCGCCGUCCUCUGUUGGGCCGAGGUCGGACUCGAUCCCGGGUCUCUCGCUCCUCUCUCCUGCGGCGUGUUUGAGUGGUGCAGUAGUUCACCACUGCGUACUCAAUGACGGACAGGAAGACAAACAGGAAGCUGGUCCACAGGUAGAUGUCAACCGCUUUCACGUAGGACACCUGGACGACGAAGACGGAGACACACAGGCACAGAUUCUCAUGUGCAGCCGAGGGUUUUGACGAGGUUCACGUGAUUAUCAGCGAGAAGGAAGCAAGUGAAGGGAAGGCGUGAAGGAGACUUGAUAAGGACUUACUCAGAAACAUCUGACCGCACAAACACAGCUGUUACCUGAGGCAUGGAGGAGGACACUCCCGUGAUGAUGGUGGACAUGAGAGACUCGGGCAGGAACGGCCCUCCUGUCGAUCCAGAAGGAGACCCAGGACAGCACGACCAUGAGCAUGGUGGGGAAGUACGUCUGCAGCAUGAAGAAGAAGAUGUGCCGCCGCAGGAUGAAGUUGAUGAACAGCCG